This 324-nucleotide ribosomal RNA is filed under the name uncultured eukaryote. RNAcentral's name for it is "partial 18S ribosomal RNA". It matches the Rfam family "Eukaryotic small subunit ribosomal RNA", at positions 1470 to 1796 of the family's 1831-position model. The record is from RNAcentral.
CCCUUAGAUGUUCUGGGCUGCACGCGCGCUACACUGAAGCUAUCAACACGUUUUCCCUCCCUGAGAAGGGCGGGUAACCUUUUGAAUCAGCUUCGUGGUAGGGAUCGGGGCUUGCAAUUGUUCCCCGUGAACCAGGAAUUCCUAGUAGACGCGAGUCAUAAGCUCGCAUCGAUUAAGUCCCUGCCCUGUGUACACACCGCCCGUCGCUACUACCGAUUGAACGUUUUAGUGAGGCAUUUGGACCGACGCAUCUCAGUUUAACCGCUGGUUUGUGUUGGAAAGACUUCCAAACUUGAGCGUUUAGAGGAAGUAAAAGUCGUAACA